Molecule: ribosomal RNA, 843 nt
Filed under: Lestes macrostigma
Lineage: Eukaryota; Metazoa; Arthropoda; Insecta; Odonata; Lestidae
Description: partial 16S ribosomal RNA
Rfam family: Archaeal large subunit ribosomal RNA (bases 340-595)
Source: RNAcentral
AUUAAUAAUUUUAUAUUAGGGGAGAAAUUCCAUUCGUUUUUAUAGGUAUCUGGUUUUUUAAGAAAUAAAUUUAAUUUAGGCAUUUAAAUUAAAUAUUUAAUUUAAUAAAUAUUUAUUUUAUGUUGACUAAUUUAGUAGGGGAUAAGCUCUAUUAAAUUUCUAUAACUUUCUAUUUAAUUAAUUGUAGUAGGGUUAAAAUCAUCCAUCUUUUAAAUUACGUUAUAGUAUAUAUUAUAUUAUUAUUGAUUUAUUUUUGUUUAGGUUAUUAUUAAAAUUUGAUGAAUAACUAUAUUUCGUCAGUAAUAAUGAUUAAAUUAGUAUAAUUUUAUGUUUAAUAUCUAUUAAAUGUUACUAUUAAGUAAGGAACUCGGCAAAUAAGCGCUCGCCUGUUUAUCAAAAACAUGUCUUCUUGAUUUAUAUAGGAAGUCUGACCUGCCCAGUGAAUAUAAAUUUUAACGGCCGCGGUAUUUUGACCGUGCAAAGGUAGCAUAAUCAUUAGUCUUUUAAUAGAAGGCUGGCAUGAAUGGUUUGACGAGGUGCUGACUGUCUCAUUUAAUUUUUUAUUAGAAUUUAACUUUUUAGUUAAAAGGCUAAAAUAUUUUUGGAAGACGAGAAGACCCUAUAGAGCUUUAUAUUAUUUUGAUUGCUCUUAUUUAGUUUCAUUUCUUUGGGCAUUUAAUAUAUUAUUCUGUUGGGGUGACAAAAAUAUAUAACUAACUUUUUUAUUUACAUUACAUUAAUUUAUGAAUUAUUGGAUCCAUUAUUAGUGAUUAUUAGAUUAAGUUACCUUANGKWUANCAGCGUAUUCUUYUUUCAGAGUUCAAAUUUACAUUAAGGCUUGCU